This 466-nucleotide ribosomal RNA is filed under the name uncultured bacterium. RNAcentral's name for it is "partial 16S ribosomal RNA". It matches the Rfam family "Bacterial small subunit ribosomal RNA", at positions 28 to 507 of the family's 1533-position model. The record is from RNAcentral.
GAUGAACGCUGGCGGCGUGCUUAACACAUGCAAGUCGAACGGUGAAGCAGAGCUUGCUCUGUGGAUCAGUGGCGAACGGGUGAGUAACACGUGAGCAACCUGCCCCUGACUCUGGGAUAAGCGCUGGAAACGGCGCCUAUUACUGGAUAUGAGCUGCGACCGCAUGGUCAGCAGUUGGAAAGAUUUUUCGGUCUGGGAUGGGCUCACGGCCUAUAGGCUUGUUGUGAGGUAAUGGCUCACCAAGGGGUCGACGGGUAGCCGGCCUGAGAGGGUGACCGGCCACACUGGGACUGAGACACGGCCCAGACUCCUACGGGAGGCAGCAGUGGGGAAUAUUGCACAAUGGGCGAAAGCCUGAUGCAGCAACGCCGCGUGAGGGAUGACGGCCUUCGGGUUGUAAACCUCUUUUAGCAGGGAAGAAGCGAAAGUGACGGUACCUGCAGAAAAAGCGCCGGCUAACUACGUG